RNAcentral lists this ribosomal RNA (301 nucleotides) under uncultured bacterium. RNAcentral describes it as "partial 16S ribosomal RNA". It matches the Rfam family "Bacterial small subunit ribosomal RNA", at positions 509 to 807 of the family's 1533-position model. The record is from RNAcentral.
CAGCAGCCGCGGUAAUACAGAGGGUGCGAGCGUUAAUCGGAUUUACUGGGCGUAAAGCGUGCGUAGGCGGCUAAUUGAGUCGGAUGUGAAAUCCCCGAGCUUAACUUGGGAAUUUCAUUCGAUACUGGUUAGCUAGAGUGUAGGAGAGGAUGGUAGAAUUCCAGGUGUAGCGGUGAAAUGCGUAGAGAUCUGGAGGAAUACCGAUGGCGAAGGCAGCCAUCUGGCCUAUCACUGACGCUGAGGUACGAAAGCAUGGGGAGCAAACAGGAUUAGAUACCCCCGUAGUCCCUGUCUCUUAUAC